GACGAACGCUGGCGGCGUGCUUAACACAUGCAAGUCGAACGGAAAGGCCCUUCGGGGUGCUCGAGUGGCGAACGGGUGAGUAACACGUGGGUGAUCUGCCCUGCACUUUGGGAUAAGCCUGGGAAACUGGGUCUAAUACCGAAUAGGACCACGCGCUUCAUGGUGUGUGGUGGAAAGCUUUUGCGGUGUGGGAUGGGCCCGCGGCCUAUCAGCUUGUUGGUGGGGUAAUGGCCUACCAAGGCGACGACGGGUAGCCGGCCUGAGAGGGUGACCGGCCACACUGGGACUGAGAUACGGCCCAGACUCCUACGGGAGGCAGCAGUGGGGAAUAUUGCACAAUGGGCGCAAGCCUGAUGCAGCGACGCCGCGUGAGGGAUGACGGCCUUCGGGUUGUAAACCUCUUUCAAUAGGGACGAAGCGCAAGUGACGGUACCUAUAGAAGAAGCACCGGCCAACUACGUG
This 462-nucleotide ribosomal RNA is filed under the name uncultured bacterium. Its description in RNAcentral is "partial 16S ribosomal RNA". It matches the Rfam family "Bacterial small subunit ribosomal RNA", at positions 28 to 507 of the family's 1533-position model. The record is from RNAcentral.